AACCCAAAUUAAUUACACUCGGCGUAAAACGUGCUCAUACACUAUAUAAUAGAAUUAAAAGUCAACCAAUAUGUGAAAAUUAAUUGUUGUUACUAAAUCCACUAACGAAAGUAAUUCUAAUUUACCUUAUGCACGAUAGCUAAGAUCCAAACUGGGAUUAGAUACCCCACUAUGCUUAGCCCUAAACUUCAAUAAUUAUAUGCAACGAAAUUAUUUGCCAGAGAACUACUAGCUACCGCUUAAAACUCAAAGGACUUGGCGGUACUUUAUAUCCAUCUAGAGGAGCCUGUUCUGUAAUCGAUAAACCCCGCUACACCUUACCACCCCUUGCUAAUUU
This 337-nucleotide ribosomal RNA is filed under the name Neacomys paracou. RNAcentral describes it as "partial 12S ribosomal RNA". It matches the Rfam family "Bacterial small subunit ribosomal RNA", at positions 537 to 990 of the family's 1533-position model. Lineage: Eukaryota; Metazoa; Chordata; Mammalia; Rodentia; Cricetidae. The record is from RNAcentral.